RNAcentral lists this long non-coding RNA (1817 nucleotides) under Medicago truncatula (barrel medic). RNAcentral describes it as "lncRNA gene46777". Lineage: Eukaryota; Viridiplantae; Streptophyta; Magnoliopsida; Fabales; Fabaceae. The record is from RNAcentral.
UGUCAAUCACUCAUUUUCUUUGUAAAAUUUUGGUUGUUGCAAAGGUUGUCAUAUAAAAUAAUGUUCAAAUAACACAACUCAAAUAAGAUACUCGGGUGAAAUCAAUAUGAAUAGAUACAUUUACACUUAAUGUAUCGUGACAUAGGCUCUAAUGGUAAAAGUUAUCCGAGAAACCAUUUUGCUUAACGUUUAAUGAUUUUACAUGUAUUUGCCAAUUUGUAAAAACAAGAGAAUAUUUUAGGCUUAAACGUACUUUUAACCCUCUAAGUUUGCAAAAGUUGCAAUUUGGGCCCCCUAUUAAAAAAAAUGACAAAAGUGACCCCCCAUGUUAUCCCUUUUUGCAAAACCUCAAUUUUAACUUAGUCAAACUUAUGUGUCACGCCACAUCAAUUAAAAAAUCGCCAACUAUCUACUUUUUGAAUUUAAAAUAAAUGUAAAAGCCACAAGUGUAUAUGUAGAAUUAAAAUAAUAAAAAAAGAAAGAAUUAAGGAGAGAAGCGCUUGGUCUUCUUCUCUUCUUCCUCUAUAACAUCAAAUUCAGGUAAGAAAGGAAAAUUAAACCCAGAAAGCACGUGAGUCUUCAUAUCUUCAUCUCCAUGCUUCAUAGCAAUCUUCAUAUCUUCCAAUCCAAUCCAGAAAGAAAGAAAAAAAAAACGAAUCCUUCAUUUAUUAAUUGAAAAACUAAACCUGCAUACACUUUAAUUCUCAUUUCUUCAGAACAGUAUCAACAGUGAUGAGAAAAUAAAAGCGUAGGUCUGUUGAAAAAUAGUGUAUUAGGUCGAAAUCACCCAAUUUCAUCUCCAACUAUACCUCCAGCACCAAUUUAGUAUCCAACUUAAGAUGAAUUCAAAGAUCCAUUAGAAUUUAUUCACAAAAUCAGACACGAAGCUGUACCGUACGGAAAUUGAUUUGGAGUUUCAAAAUUUGAUUUUGAGAGAAAAAAUACUCACCUUUUAGAACACAUGUUGAUUGAGCCCUUUAAUUUGAAGAAGGUACAAGAAGAAUUAACUAUGGAUGUGGAAGAGAUUAGAGAAAAGAGGAUUUAAUUGGAUGAUUUUAUGAAAAUCAAGAGGUUUUUUUUUGGUUACAAUGAAAAUCAAGAGGUUGAAGAUGAAGAAGCUUUGCCCCUUUUUCCAGAAUUUUAAUUCACGUGCUAUUUCCUUAAAAAAAAAAAAAACAAUUGCUCUUUCUUUUUUUGCUUUUUGAUUUAUAUUUAAUUUCAUUUCUAAAUCUGGCUUUUUUAUUUAAUUUUUAAUUGUAAAAAACACAUGUGGCAUGCCAUGUAGGCUUGAUCAAGUCAAAAUUGACGUUUUGCAAAAGGGGAUAAAUAUGGGAUGUCACUUUUGCCAUUUUUUUUAAUAGGGGGCCAAAAUUGCAACUUUUACAAACUUAGGGGGUAAAAAGUGUGUUUAAGCCAAUAUUUUAAUGGCUACUUACAAUUUUGAUGACCAAUUUUAUUUUCUUGAGUUAAUUUUAGAAAUAUAUUCAAACAAUACCAUAAGUGUCAAAUGAGUUUAGCUCAAUUGUUUAGGUUUGAUGGAGGAGUGGGAGCGGGAUUCUAGUUGGAUCAUCGUAGUGAUGUGGGUGAAUCACACUUGAGGGGGAGAUUGAUGGAAAUCAAGUGUGAAUGGAGAACCAUUAUAAGAGAGGAGAACCAUUAACCCAAUGCCUCGAGGUUUUGGGUCAGAGUGUUGCGUCUCUCUCUUAGUGGAUCCGAUAUGUUUAGCCCAUUACCACUCCCAGCAAGCUAAUUUUGGUCACUGAACUAUUCGACCAAAAAAUUAAAGUUCUACAUAAUUUUAUAAAAAUAAAAUAAAG